AUGAACGCUGGCGGCGUGCCUAAUACAUGCAAGUCGAGCGAACAGACGAGGAGCUUGCUCCUCUGACGUUAGCGGCGGACGGGUGAGUAACACGUGGAUAACCUACCUAUAAGACUGGGAUAACUUCGGGAAACCGGAGCUAAUACCGGAUAAUAUAUUGAACCGCAUGGUUCAAUAGUGAAAGACGGUUUUGCUGUCACUUAUAGAUGGAUCCGCGCCGCAUUAGCUAGUUGGUAAGGUAACGGCUUACCAAGGCAACGAUGCGUAGCCGACCUGAGAGGGUGAUCGGCCACACUGGAACUGAGACACGGUCCAGACUCCUACGGGAGGCAGCAGUAGGGAAUCUUCCGCAAUGGGCGAAAGCUUGACGGAGCAACGCCGCGUGAGUGAUGAAGGUCUUCGGAUCGUAAAACUCUGUUAUUAGGGAAGAACAAAUGUGUAAGUAACUAUGCACGUCUUGACGGUACCUAAUCAGAAAGCCGCGGCUAACUACG
RNAcentral lists this ribosomal RNA (494 nucleotides) under uncultured bacterium. RNAcentral's name for it is "partial 16S ribosomal RNA". It matches the Rfam family "Bacterial small subunit ribosomal RNA", at positions 29 to 505 of the family's 1533-position model. The record is from RNAcentral.